This 1266-nucleotide long non-coding RNA is filed under the name Numida meleagris (helmeted guineafowl). Its description in RNAcentral is "lncRNA (ENSNMEG00000002286.1)". The record is from RNAcentral. Lineage: Eukaryota; Metazoa; Chordata; Aves; Galliformes; Numididae.
UGGGUCAUUAUGGGUCUCUAUGGGUCGCUCUGGCUCUGGUUAUGGGUCCCUAUGGGUCGCUAUGGGUCUCUAUGGGUCUCUAUGGGUCUCUAUGUGUCUCUAUGGGUCCCUAUGGGUCCCUAUGGGUCUCUAUGGGUCCCAGUGCUUUUCUAUGGGUCUCGAUGGGUCUCUGUGGGUCGCUAUGGGUCGCAGUGGGUCUCUAUGGGUUGCAGUGGGUCGCUCUGGGUCUGGUUAUGGGUCGCUAUGGGUCGCAGUGGGUCUCUAUGGGUCGCGGUGGGUCGCUAUGGGUCGCUAUGGGUCUCUGUGGCUCUCUAUGGGUCCCUAUGUGUCUCUAUGUGUGUCUAUGGGUCUCUAUGGGUCUCUAUGGGUCUCUAUGGGUCUCUAUGGGUCCCAGUGCUUUUCUAUGGGUCUCUAUAGGUCUGGUUAUGGGUCCCUAUGGGUCGCAGUGGGUUGCUAUGGGUCUGGUUAUGGGUCUCUAUGGGUCCCUAUGUGUCUCUAUGUGUCCCUAUGGGUCGCUAUGGGUCCCUAUGGGUCGCUAUGGGUCGCAGUGGGUUGCUAUGGGUCUGGUUAUGGGUCUCUAUGGGUCCCUAUGUGUCCCUAUGUGUCUCUAUGGGUCGCUAUGGGUCUCUCUCUAUCGGUCUCUAUGGGUUGCUAUGGGUCUCUAUGGGUCGCUAUGGGUCUCUAUGGGUCUCUAUGGGUCGCUAUGGGUCACUAUGGGUCCCUAUGGGUCUGGUUAUGUGUCGCUAUGGGUCCCAGUGGGUCUCUCUGGGUCUGGUUAUGUGUCGCUAUGGGUCCCAGUGGGUCUCUCUGGGUCUGGUUAUGGGUCUCUAUGGGUCGCAGUGGGUCUCUAUGGGUCCCUAUGGGUCGCUAUGGGUCCCUAUGGGUCGCUAUGGGUCGCAGUGGGUUGCUAUGGGUCUGGUUAUGGGUCUCUAUGGGUCUCUAUGGGUCCCUAUGUGUCUCUAUGUGUCUCUAUGGGUCGCUAUGGGUCGCUAUGGGUCCCUAUGGGUCCCUAUGGGUCUCUAUGGGUCUCUAUGGGUCGCUAUGGGUCGCUAUGGGUCGCUAUGGGUCCCUAUGGGUCUCUAUGGGUCGCAGUGGGUCUCUAUGGGUCGCAGUGGGGCUGACCAGCGCAGGUCCCUGAGCAGCUCCCAGUGCCGCGCGCUGUGGGGCCGGGCCUGGGGGGCGGAGCUCAGCGCCUCCAAAGUCUCCGCCCACGUCGGGGUGGCCCCGCCCCCCAGGCGAAGCCCCGCCCCCAGCAGCUCCAGCAGC